Molecule: unclassified non-coding RNA, 212 nt
Filed under: plant metagenome
Description: partial contains small subunit ribosomal RNA, internal transcribed spacer 1, and 5.8S ribosomal RNA
Source: RNAcentral
UUUCCGUAGGUGAACCUGCGGAAGGAUCAUUCAUAAUAAGUGUUUAUGGCACUUUUUUAAAUCCAUAUCCACCUUGUGUGCAAUGUCAGGGUUGAUUUUUCUCUCGAGAGGAUCAGCCCCAAACAUCAACUAUAUCUCAACUCUUAGUCUGAAAAAUAUUAUGAAUAAAACAAUUCAAAAUACAACUUUCAACAACGGAUCUCUUGGCUCUC